AUGUGGAGUAUAAAAAUGGUAUUUACAGCCAGUAAACAUGGACCAGAAAGACACGUACAACUGCACACCAGCACGCACUCCCAAGCAGGCCCUCGGGGGCUCGGCGGGCGCCGCGGACACGGGUGGGGCCCCCUCGAGGCCGAUUGGCACACACUUGCACACGGGGACACACGGAACACAAGCACGCUAGAGGAGAGUCUCGAACAAUUAUCAAACUCUGGAAUAUCGAAACAAGUUGGUUCAGAAGAUUUUUUUUUUCUUUUCUAUUUUUUUCUUUUUUUUUUUCUUUUUAAAUGUUUUUUUCUUUUGAGCUUGUUAAGAUAUCUGGCGCCUCAUUUGGUAAGAGGCCUUGCUGGAUGUCCGAACGAACUUGAUUCUGUGCUUUGACGUGGGUGUUGCGGAUUGGGUAGCUGUACAGAGGCACCCCACAAAAACCCCCCACCCCACCCCACUCCCAACGAGGAAACAAAAAUCCACUGUGGUUUGAUUCUUUCCCCCCAUCUUUUUCUUCUCUUUUCUUCUUUGUACCUGCUCAGAAAGACCGGAAAAAAAGAAAAAAAAAUCUCUGUAGAGGUAUGAAGGUCAUUAUCAAGUUCAUCUCCAGUUAAAGGGGUGCUUGGCCAGUCCAGGUAGGGUCUUCCGCUACGCUUGGCAAUCCUGGUUACAAGACCUUAAAUUCGAGGCUGGUGAUUCGAAGGCAGGGACGAUGGCUGCCUGGCCUUGGGAGGGGGUGGUGAGGGGCGGGGGGGGCUCCCCCCAGCCCUGUCCGCCCCGCCUCCGACAGAAAGCUAAGGGCUACUGGUCGCAUGAGUAAGGCUAUGACUCGGGCAGGGGAGCAGAGAAGGGCUGAGGCAGGCCAGAGCGUCUCUGUUGUACCUAUAUCCAUCCGGGAGGGCAGGGCUCUGGGACAAAGGGGCGAGGUGGGGUCUGGAGGCCGCAGCUGGGACCAGGGACACUGAAGCUGGCAGAGCCCAAUGGCCCUGGAGAAUCGGUGGUGGGGGGUGCCAAAAGUCCUGGAGGUAUAUUGU
This 1028-nucleotide long non-coding RNA is filed under the name Macaca fascicularis (crab-eating macaque). RNAcentral describes it as "lncRNA (ENSMFAG00000049519.1)". Lineage: Eukaryota; Metazoa; Chordata; Mammalia; Primates; Cercopithecidae. The record is from RNAcentral.